RNAcentral lists this ribosomal RNA (253 nucleotides) under uncultured bacterium. Its description in RNAcentral is "partial 16S ribosomal RNA". It matches the Rfam family "Bacterial small subunit ribosomal RNA", at positions 524 to 776 of the family's 1533-position model. The record is from RNAcentral.
GACGGAGGAUGCAAGCGUUAUCCGGAAUGAUUGGGCGUAAAGCGUCCGCAGGUGGCAGUUCAAGUCUGCUGUCAAAGACCGGGGCUUAACUUCGGAAAGGCAGUGGAAACUGAACAGCUAGAGUAUGGUAGGGGCAGAGGGAAUUCCUGGUGUAGCGGUGAAAUGCGUAGAUAUCAGGAAGAACACCUAUGGCGAAGGCAGCCCUCUGGGACGGUACUGACGCUGAGACGCGAAAGCGUGGGGAGCGAACAGG